RNAcentral lists this ribosomal RNA (239 nucleotides) under uncultured bacterium. RNAcentral's name for it is "partial 16S ribosomal RNA". It matches the Rfam family "Bacterial small subunit ribosomal RNA", at positions 80 to 334 of the family's 1533-position model. The record is from RNAcentral.
CGAUCCAUGAGUAAAGUGGCGACCGGGUGAGUAACACGUGACUACCUACCCUUGAGUGGGGGAUAACCUCGGGAAACCGAGGCUAAUACCGCAUAAUAUCGAAAGAUCAAAGGAGUAAUCCGCUUUUGGAGGGGGUCGCGGCUGAUUAGCUAGUUGGUAGGGUAAUGGCCUACCAAGGCGAAGAUCGGUAUCCGGCCUGAGAGGGCGCACGGACACACUGGAACUGAAACACGGUCCAG